Long non-coding RNA from Armigeres subalbatus, 416 nucleotides. RefSeq lists it as uncharacterized. The transcript is spliced from 3 exons. The record is from RefSeq and is a predicted model, not a curated record. Lineage: Eukaryota; Metazoa; Arthropoda; Insecta; Diptera; Culicidae.
GGGGAUGUUGCGGGACCACUGAGCACCCUCACGUCUCACUUAAGUGAGUUCAGUUCGGCCAGUAGCCGUCACUGUCAACGUCGCACGAGCAUAGAUGUCAAUGGAUGAGGGAGCAUAAAACGAGAACGGACUGUCAUACAGAGAAAGCAAAACGUGGAUUGAAAGCGAAAGUAGUAGUUACUGACCCAUAAAUCUAAAUUGCUUAUUAUACGAUUAUUCUCUUAAACUAUUAUAUAAAAACUAGUAACGUUAAAAUUAAAUAUUAAGUGAUUACAAACUAAAUUAUUGAACAAGAUAGUACAAAAGCUGUUAUUACGGCAAAAGGUAGUGUUAGUUCAUGCUAAUUGAAUUAAAUUUGCCUACAAGACGCUACAAACACAUAAUUGGAGAAAUUGUUUCGGAUAAGGGCAUAGAAG